UAUAUUUUAGUAUAUUAUGUAUAAAAAAUUUUGAAUUUUUAGGUAAUAAAUUAAUUUUAUUAGAUAUAA
RNAcentral lists this transfer RNA (69 nucleotides) under Ctenisodes sp. 1 EF-2015. RNAcentral's name for it is "tRNA-Gln". The record is from RNAcentral. Lineage: Eukaryota; Metazoa; Arthropoda; Insecta; Coleoptera; Staphylinidae.